AAGGUUUCAUGUCUAAUGUCACACCAUAUGCGCUCUAUGCAUAGAUGAUGGCUUCACUCCAUCAAGAAAGAACAUUAUUCUUUAUUAAUUGAUACCGGGAUAAUGCGAAAUAUAAUUUGAAAUGCUGAAAGUUAUAUUUGCUGGAAACACUUUAGGAAUAAUGAUAAAUCGAUUCACCAAGUUUAAAAUCAUAAAAUGAUUCAUAAACUCACUAUCCUAAGGAUAAUUAAAUAAGGAUACAAAACUUAAAAAAA
RNAcentral lists this long non-coding RNA (254 nucleotides) under Musa acuminata (dwarf banana). RNAcentral's name for it is "long non-coding RNA (MACU_LNC009344)". The record is from RNAcentral. Lineage: Eukaryota; Viridiplantae; Streptophyta; Magnoliopsida; Zingiberales; Musaceae.